AUGGUAUUUAGUUUAAAACAAAAUAAAUGAUUUCGACUCAUUAGACUAUGAUUAAAUUCAUAAUUACCAA
This 70-nucleotide transfer RNA is filed under the name Antilocapra americana (pronghorn). RNAcentral's name for it is "tRNA-Arg". It matches the Rfam family "tRNA". Rfam says of the family: Transfer RNA (tRNA) molecules are approximately 80 nucleotides in length. Their secondary structure includes four short double-helical elements and three loops (D, anti-codon, and T loops). The record is from RNAcentral. Lineage: Eukaryota; Metazoa; Chordata; Mammalia; Artiodactyla; Antilocapridae.